RNAcentral lists this long non-coding RNA (412 nucleotides) under Homo sapiens (human). Its description in RNAcentral is "HSALNT0329088". Lineage: Eukaryota; Metazoa; Chordata; Mammalia; Primates; Hominidae. The record is from RNAcentral.
GAAAAUGAAAUUACACAGCAUGUACUCUGGUGACUGACGUUUUGCUCAGAAAAAUAUAUUAUAAAGCUUGCUGGUGGCAAUUUACCCCAGUGUGACUAUCGGGAGCAGUGAAAUCUGCUGGAGAGAAGCCACAUGUACAUUUUUCUCAGUAAAAUAGUUUUGUGCUAUCAUCACCAGAGCCAGCAAUUCAACCUAAAUUCUGAGUGUAAUGGAAGCCGUUAAUCACUAUCAAGUUCAUCAUUUUUUUUUCAUGGCAAGUAAUAUUCAUAUCAGUGAUUGCUAUUCCACUAAGAAAUUCUAAAUGUUUCAUAAAAAUGAAACACCACAUAAUAAGAGACUAAAUCAUAUGAAACAAAAUUUUGACUUUUGAAUGUAUCACUCAAGGCCAAUGGAUGAUAAUUUCUCUUUAUGA